AUUGCCUUAUAAGCACGUGGCCGCGGGUUCGAAUCCUGCCU
Molecule: transfer RNA, 41 nt
Filed under: Pelagomonas calceolata
Lineage: Eukaryota; Pelagophyceae; Pelagomonadales; Pelagomonadaceae
Description: partial tRNA
Source: RNAcentral